UUUUUUUUUUUUUGGUGUAUUGAUUACCAUUUGUAUAAAAACAGUUUUACUAUAAAUACCACAGUUAAACUAUGGUUAGUGUAGCAAAGCCAUGGUUAAUUUGUGGUUAACAUGGUUUAACCAUGUUUUUUUUUUUUUUUUUUUUUUUAUUUAUAGUAAAACCAUGGUUAAUUUGGGGUAUUACUAUUAAAUACGUCCAAAAACAUGGUACUAUCAUGGUAUAUGUCUAAACACAUGGUACUAUUAUGGUAUUCGUCCAAAUAACACCGUCGUAGUUUUCAGUCACUGUAACCGGGCACAUCACGGACCUCGGGAUUAAAAACACAUUAUUCGUUUACCGUUUUUCGGGUUUUCUGUUAGAAGAUAACUACGUUUUUGCUGCUAACCUGAUUUAAAAAAACAAACUAAUCCAGAGUCAGUUGCUAAUGUUAUUCGUGUCCUGGAGAAAGUGUUUAAGUGUGACGCGCUCACGUGCACGCGCGCUCCGUGACAGGCGCAAAGGUCGCGCGACGAACACAUUAAACUGAUAUCAUAUCUAUAUAAACUCUGCACCAGAGUGAAUCUCUCUUACCCAUGUCCCUGAUUUCCACAUUGGUGUCGAAUAGAGAUGGAUUCUUCCGACCCAGGAAAUUGAACGUUCCUUUCUUCAUGUUAACGAGUAUUUCAUCCACAGAGACUGAGAUCAGAGUGAUUUCAUGAUUUCAUGAUUUCAGUGCUAUAGCAGCAGCUGACUGUGAGCUCGAAACCGGCACUGAUUCAGAGAAACACUGAGGAGGAGGAAAUGAUCCCACACCUGAACCGGCCCUGACCCCGCCCACUCUGACAGAUAACUUCAUGGUGCUCAGAAUCCUUGCACUCCUGAGGAAUAAAGCGAAUCAGAGAGUUGUCAUGGCGAUUGAAGAAUGUUCAGAAUGUGUGGCAGUUCCUGCGCUCAGCUGCUUGAGUUUCUCUGGAACGCUUCACACAUGCUUCAGAUGAUUUAUG
This 984-nucleotide long non-coding RNA is filed under the name Carassius auratus (goldfish). RNAcentral describes it as "lncRNA (ENSCARG00000067892.1)". Lineage: Eukaryota; Metazoa; Chordata; Actinopteri; Cypriniformes; Cyprinidae. The record is from RNAcentral.